This 160-nucleotide ribosomal RNA is filed under the name uncultured Bacillaceae bacterium. Its description in RNAcentral is "partial 16S rRNA". It matches the Rfam family "Bacterial small subunit ribosomal RNA", at positions 355 to 507 of the family's 1533-position model. Lineage: Bacteria; Bacillati; Bacillota; Bacilli; Caryophanales; Bacillaceae. The record is from RNAcentral.
UUAGGAAUCUUCCGCAAUGGACGAAAGUCUGACGGAGCAACGCCGCGUGGGCGAUGAAGGCCUUCGGGUCGUAAAGCUCUGUUGUUAGGGAAGAGCAAGUACGAGAGUAACUGCUCGUACCUUGACGGUACCUAACCAGAAAGCCACGGCUAACUACGUG